ACGGAUAACGUUGGCGGCGUGCCUAAAACAUGCAAGUCGAACGGUGCUCGUCCUUCGGGGUGAGUGCAGUGGCGAACGGCUGAGUAACACGUGGGUGACCUGCCCUCGCGCGGGGGAUAACUGCCCGAAAGGGUGGCUAAUACCGCAGAUCUCCGGGCUUCGGUGUUCGGAGUGAACUCGCAAGGGGUGUGAGGAGGGGCCCGCGGNCGAUUAGCUAGCUGGUGGGGUAACGGCCUACCAGGGCGUCGAUCGGUAGCUGGUCUGAGAGGAUGAUCAGCCAGACUGGGACUGCGAACGGCCCAGACUCCUACGGGAGGCAGCAGUUAGGAAUUUUGGGCAAUGGGCGAAAGCCUGACCCAGCAACGCCGCGUGGGUGAUGAAGGCCCUCGGGUCGUAAAGCCCUUUUCCCAGGGACGAUGAUGACGGUACCUGGGGAAUCAGCCCCGGCUAACUACGUGCCAGCAGCCGCGGUAAUACGUAGGGGGCAAGCGUUGUCCGGAUUUAUUGGGCGUAAAGCGCUCGCAGGUGGUUCGUCGCGUCGUGCGUGAAAGACCCCGGCUCAACUGGGGAGGGUCGUGCGAUACGGGCGGACUGGAGGCCAGUAGGGGGAUGCGGAAUUCCGGGUGUAGUGGUGGAAUGCGUAGAGAUCCGGAGGAACACCAGCGGCGAAGGCGGCAUCCUGGACUGGUCCUGACACUCAGGAGCGAAAGCGUGGGGAGCGAUCCGGAUUAGAUACCCGGGUAGUCCACGCUGUAAACGAUGCGCACUAGGUGUCGGGGGUAUCGACCCCCUCGGUGCCGCAGCUAACGCGAUAAGUGCGCCGCCUGGGGACUACGGCCGCAAGGCUAAAACUCAAAGGAAUUGACGGGGGCCCGCACAAGCAGCGGAGCAUGUGGUUCAAUUCGACGCAACGCGAAGAACCUUACCCAGGCUCGAACGGCGACUGACAUCCGGCGAAAGCCGGCUCCCGCAAGGGCAGUCGUCGAGGUGCUGCAUGGCUGUCGUCAGCUCGUGUCGUGAGAUGUUGGGUUAAGUCCCGCAACGAGCGCAACCCUUGUCCGCUGUUGCCAUCAGGUUAUGCUGGGCACUCUGCGGAGACUGCCGGUGAUAAACCGGAGGAAGGUGGGGAUGACGUCAAGUCAGCAUGGCCUUUAUGUCUGGGGCUACACACGUGCUACAAUGGCCGAUACAAACCGUCGCGAUGCCGCAAGGUGGAGCUAAUCGGAGAAAGUCGGUCUCAGUUCGGAUUGCAGGCUGCAACUCGCCUGCAUGAAGUUGGAAUCGCUAGUAAUCGCGGAUCAGCACGCCGCGGUGAUACAUUCCCGGGCAUUUACUCACCGCCCG
Molecule: ribosomal RNA, 1344 nt
Filed under: uncultured bacterium
Lineage: Bacteria
Description: bacterial SSU rRNA
Rfam family: Bacterial small subunit ribosomal RNA
Source: RNAcentral